This 776-nucleotide ribosomal RNA is filed under the name uncultured Neocallimastigales. RNAcentral describes it as "partial large subunit ribosomal RNA". It matches the Rfam family "Eukaryotic large subunit ribosomal RNA", at positions 26 to 635 of the family's 3401-position model. The record is from RNAcentral. Lineage: Eukaryota; Fungi; Neocallimastigomycota; Neocallimastigomycetes; Neocallimastigales.
CGUCUAUAUACGUAUAGCAUAUCAAUAAGCGGAGGAAAAGAAACUAACUAGGAUUCCCUCAGUAACGGCGAGUGAAGCGGGAAGAGCUCAAAUUUGAAAUCUUCAAGGUUCUACCUUGACGAAUUGUAGUUUAAAGAAGUGUUUUCUGUUGGAGUUUUGGUAAAAGUUCUUUGGAAUAGGACAUCAUAGAGGGUGAGAAUCCCGUAUUUGACCAUUAUUUCCAACUUUGUGAUACACUUUCAAAGAGUCGGAUUAUUUGGGAAUGCAGUCCAAAAUGGGUGGUAAAUUUCAUCUAAAGCUAAAUACUGGCGAGAGACCGAUAGCGAACAAGUACCGUGAGGGAAAGAUGAAGAGAACUUUGAAAAGAGAGUUAAACAGUACGUGAAAUUGUCAAAAGGGAAGCGUUUGACACCAGUGUUGUUUUCUCGAAAAUCAAUUAAAAAUGGUGGGAUGUUGUGUUGUUAUUGACUUUAUCAGCUUUCUGCACUUUUUUUCCUAUCUUUUUUAAUGCACUUUUCGUUUAACAAGUCAACAUCAAUUUCUUUUGUUGUAAAAGAGUCAUUGGAAGGUGGCUUUCUUUUCGGAGAAAGUGUUUAUAGCCUUUGGCUUCUGCAAUCGGAGAGAUUGAGGUCUGCAGCGUAGAUCCUUCGGGGUUAGAUACAUUUGUGCUAAGUUAUAGCCUUUCAUAGACAACUUGUUGACUAUGAUCAGUCAUGUAGCUUACUCGCUUACGCUAUUUUACCUACGCUUAGGAUGUUGAUAUGCAUGACUGAUAU